GGGGAAUUUUGGACAAUGGGCGCAAGCCUGAUCCAGCCAUGCCGCGUGAGUGAAGAAGGCCUUCGGGUUGUAAAGCUCUUUCGGCCGGGAAGAAAUCGUGUUCUCUAACAUAGGACAUGGAUGACGGUACCGGACUAAGAAGCACCGGCUAACUACGUGCCAGCAGCCGCGGUAAUACGUAGGGUGCGAGCGUUAAUCGGAAUUACUGGGCGUAAAGCGUGCGCAGGCGGUUUUGUAAGACAGAUGUGAAAUCCCCGGGCUUAACCUGGGAACGGCGUUUGUGACUGCAAGGCUGGAGUACGGCAGAGGGGGGUGGAAUUCCACGUGUAGCAGUGAAAUGCGUAGAGAUGUGGAGGAACACCGAUGGCGAAGGCAGCCCCCUGGGCCUGUACUGACGCUCAUGCACGAAAGCGUGGGGAGCAAACA
Molecule: ribosomal RNA, 426 nt
Filed under: uncultured bacterium
Lineage: Bacteria
Description: bacterial SSU rRNA
Rfam family: Bacterial small subunit ribosomal RNA
Source: RNAcentral